Long non-coding RNA from Carya illinoinensis, 1868 nucleotides. RefSeq lists it as uncharacterized. The transcript is spliced from 4 exons. The record is from RefSeq and is a predicted model, not a curated record. Lineage: Eukaryota; Viridiplantae; Streptophyta; Magnoliopsida; Fagales; Juglandaceae.
CAUGAGCAGCUCUGUUACCACGCCUACUAUAAUACGAAAGUGACCAAAAAGAAUGUGCUAACAGCCUAAGCUUAAUAUCAUCUGUGAUCUAUCCCAACCAGGAGUGAUUUGUGGCACUACCAACUAUAUUAACAACUGUCGUGGCAUCCCCUCAAACUCAACCUUACUCAGCCCCAAUUCAUCACCCAAUAUAACUGCCGUCAAUAAAGCAAAACCUUCAACAGCAGUUGCAGAUAUGACAGACUCUUUUGGUGAGUAAGAACAACCACAAUAUUCCCUUUGCAGUCUCUAAUAACAAUUCAUAUUCCCAUCUGUGAACUUUGUUUAUCAAAAGCAGCAUCUACGUUAACCUUUAAAUAAUCAUCUGGUGGCUGUUUCCAAAUCUGCACUUGGGCUGUAUCGGGUUGUCUGUUCUCCAUCUGUUAUGUAUCUCGAUUCCCAUGUUGCACCUGUUUAAACAAGUCUACUUUAGCAGCUCCACAGUAAGGUGGGGUCCUUAAAUUUAUUAUGAAAGAUAAACUCAUUUCUUCUUCUUCAAAUACCAUGCAUCACAGUAGCCACAUAAUCCAACUGAUCAGCCUCCAGUCUAGCCUGCAAGUCUAUCCAUAAAGAGAUAAAAUCUGGGAAUCUUCUAUUUCAUUUCUUAACAAAACUAUUCGAGGCCCAUACAUCACCUGCAGCUGGACACUCCCAAAGUAUGUGUAUUGCCAUUUCCACCUCUUGCAAAGAGAUUGGACACAGAGAACUAUCUGUUAUGUUCCUAUGGUGUAGCUUGCCUUUGGUUGGCAGUAUAUCAUUCAGAGCUUUCCACACCAUAUGUUUUACCUUUUCAGGUGUUGCUAGGCAUGUUUAUACGGUCUGGAACCCGGAUAAUGAGAUUUCGGUUACAGAUUUCGGCUUGAAUUUGAUCCGGACCUAAAUCUGGAUUAUAAUACCCUGACCUAUAUGGUCCGGUUGCAGGUAAGGAAACCGGGUUCCGGAUUUACAAUCCGGUACCCGGGUUUAUAUACGUUGAAAACAAAUACAACCUUAUAAGGAAAUCGGGUUCGUCUUCUCAAUGCUAGGAACCUAUUUGACGAGGUAGCUCUCUUCAAAUAGGUUCCUCACGCCGAUAGAGUCCUGACAGAGACCCAUAGCACUCUCUGUGCUCAGGCCUCUCUUUCACGCGAAAUCGCCUCAUCCUUGUGACCCAAGAUACCUUGGAAUGACGAUGAUGAAAUGCUACAGCUUGUGUAGCUUUUGUUCAGGUGAGGAGCUUGUCUCGUAAGACCACCAUGGGGAUUCCAGUGCGCAUAUACUGAGUUCUUGGCCAAAGGAGUUCUAUAAUACUUUUAAGCAAAUUUUUUUCCCUUCCAAUUGUCAUAUUUUCUUACUGUUUAGAGGCCGUUUUACCUUUUGUUCGUUAAAUGCGUAGAUGUUACACUUCCUUCGUUGGAGAAUUGAAGCCUAUUUAUCUUUUUCACUUGUGCUAUGAUGCAUUGUCGAAUAUCAAAAAGUCCAAACGUUUUGUACUUUCAUUGCUGCUAUUGUUUUGCUUAGCUUCUCUCUACCAUUGCCCCCAACAUACAUAAUGUUUUUAUGAGAAUAUUUGUUCUCUCUGUAAUAGCGUGAAAAUUUUGAUGGGUUUGUUUGUUUUGUCAAAUUUAUCUGCACCUUGCUAACAAUAUGAAGUCUAUUUUUGUAGGAAUUACCUCACAUUGCUUUGGCUUCCAAGGAUCACUUUCAGGCCAAUCACUUUGAAGUUGCUAUUUGGUAUGGAAAUUAAAUUACUGAUUUUGUGAUUCAUAUAUUGUAAUUUGGUAUUUCGUAAUGUAAUGUAUAAAUAACAAAUAAUAUAAUAUAUAGUGGAUUGUAUUGUAAUGCAUGCA